CAUAAAUGGAAGACGGAACACUUAGCUCUAGAAUGGUUUAGAAGAUCUUUUCUAUGCUCUGGCUUGAAUAGUCUACAUUUUAUGCAGUUUGUUGUCAUAUAUUCAUUAGGAACUGCAUAUUUAGCGGCUCUCACGCCAAAGUAUCAGGGUGUCUAUCACUCAUUUGCUAAUUAUAUUUAGUUUCGAUUUGGCUUCUUGAAAAAUUUACAGAAAUAGUUUAUUCGAUGAAGACAUUCAUUUUUGCCAAAUUUCAUGUGUGUUGCAUCCACCCCCACCCCCCCACCCCCCCUUUCUUUUUUGAAUGGAGAUGGAUUAUUUUAUCUUCUUUGAAUACCUAAGCUGAGCUGCCUUGAGUUUCUCUUUAUUAUCUUGAUUGGAGGUUAAAUCUAUCACUUGCAUAAAUUUUAGAUAUUUCUUGCAUUUUGCUGUCGCUCAUGCUAGCAGGUGACGAAAUCAUAGAAACCAGAACUGACUUUUUCAUAGUGUGGAACCUCGGAAAUUUGGACGAUUACAGAGUAAAACAGGGAUAUGUCAUUUAGCCAGAAGGUCCUCUACUUAACGACUUUGCAAAGAUGCUUGCGGUCUCCAUGGUUAACCCAAACUUAUUCUUUCUCAGACAUUGUUCACAAGAAAACAAAGCUUGCUCCUCUACAGGAAAGGAGAAUGAUAGAUCGCUUUCGCAUAUGGGCCAAAGGAGGUGAUGGUGGCAGCGGUUGUACCAGUAUUCGUCGUAGUCGACAUGAUCGCCGUGGCACACCUGACGGUGGGAAUGGUGGAAGGGGUGGUGACGUGAUAUUAGAAUGUUCCCCUGCAGUCUGGGAUUUGAGUGGUCUGCAGCAUCACACAAAUGCAAAGAGAGGCGGAAAUGGGUCUUCCAAAAAUAUGAUAGGAAGUAGAGGAGCUGACAAGGUGAUCCAAGUUCCUGUAGGUACUGUAAUUCAUCUAGUAGAGGGCGAACUUCCAUCUGCAGUUGAGAAGAGUUCAAGUUCUGAGUUGGACCCUUGGGAGCUUCCAGGUACAGUUGAUAUUGAUUCGUCAGAGUUUUCUACACAAUCAGUUUCGGCGUACCAAACAAGUUCAAAGGUUGAGAAGAGAGCCAAAUCAAGUGGACGUCGAGCUUCUGGUGGUGAAGAAUCCACUACAGCAAAGAGAAGAAAUUGUGCUUUGCCAAUCAAUUCUCGCACGAAACAUUCACUUUCUAGAGGCAAAUUCGAAAGUGAUGAUGAUGAUUUGAGCAAUUGGGAGGAAGAAAGCUGUGGACAAAUGGAAGAUCAAGAUGGUGAUGAUGCUAUGGGAGCAGAAUGUGAAGAUGAGUUGGAAGAAACUGAACAUAUAGAAUAUGAUGUGGCAGAGUUAACAGAACAAGGCCAACGAAUAGUUGUUGCUCGUGGAGGGGAGGGUGGCUUAGGAAAUCUGUCUAAGGGGAAAGCAUCAAAGAUGAUGCAAAAGGGAGCCAGUUCUGAUGAUGAAGUAUCUGAUGAUUAUGAUCAUGCAUCACUAAGUGCUGGCUUGCCUGGCUCUGAGGCGGUCCUUGUGCUAGAACUAAAGAGCAUUGCUGAUAUAGGUCUUAUUGGGAUGCCAAAUGCCGGCAAAAGUACCCUCCUUGGAGCAUUAUCAAAGGCUAAACCUACUGUAGGUGAUUAUGCGUUCACAACGUUGAGGCCGAACUUAGGCAACUUAAAUUAUUACGAUUUUUCUUUAACUGUAGCUGACAUCCCGGGACUCAUAAGAGGAGCCCAUGAAAAUCGUGGGCUUGGGCAUGCUUUCCUUCGGCACAUAGAACGAACAAAAGUUCUAGCAUACGUGGUAGACUUGGCUGCAGGAUUGGGCGAUAACAAGGGAAUACCACCAUGGGAGCAGCUAAAUGACUUGGUUUUGGAACUCGAGUACUAUCGAGAGGGUUUGACCGAUCGACCAUCCUUAGUGGUGGCUAACAAAAUCGACGAAGAUGGGGCUGAAGAGGUCUAUAAAGAGCUGAAACACAGGGUGUCUGGUGUGCCCAUUUUCCCAAUUAGUGCAGUCCUAGAGGAAGGAGUACCAGAACUGAAAGAUGGUCUAAGGAUGCUUAUCAGUGGUGAACAAUCAAACAGACUACAACUAAAUGGUGUAGUUCUUCCUUUUGUGAGCAUCUAAGCUACAUCAUUAGGAUAUCUGCUUCAGUAUACUUUCCCUUGAAAAUGUAAUACCUUUGUUUUACCACAAUGCCAUAGCAAUUUUCUGCGGAGGAGAUUUCUCAAGGGAGUUGAAUCUAUCGAAAGACGGUUUCUUAUAGGUAAGCAAUGGAGUCAUACUUAUUAACGUUCAAAUUAUAUAGUUGAAACUUUCGAAAGGUGGUUUCUUAUGGUAAGCAAUAACACUUCAUAACGUUUAAAUUAUAUGUAAAUAACUUAAUAUUA
Molecule: non-coding RNA, 2396 nt
Organism: Nicotiana tabacum (common tobacco)
Lineage: Eukaryota; Viridiplantae; Streptophyta; Magnoliopsida; Solanales; Solanaceae
Source: RefSeq, a predicted model, not a curated record